GACGAACGCUGGCGGCGUGCCUAAUACAUGCAAGUAGAACGCUGAAGAGAGGAGCUUGCUCUUCUUGGAUGAGUUGCGAACGGGUGAGUAACGCGUAGGUAACCUGCCUUGUAGCGGGGGAUAACUAUUGGAAACGAUAGCUAAUACCGCAUAACAAUGGAUGACACAUGUCAUUUAUUUGAAAGGGGCAAUUGCUCCACUACAAGAUGGACCUGCGUUGUAUUAGCUAGUAGGUGAGGUAAUGGCUCACCUAGGCGACGAUACAUAGCCGACCUGAGAGGGUGAUCGGCCACACUGGGACUGAGACACGGCCCAGACUCCUACGGGAGGCAGCAGUAGGGAAUCUUCGGCAAUGGGGGCAACACUGACCGAGCAACGCCGCGUGAGUGAAGAAGGUUGUCGGAUCGUAAAGCUCUGUUGUAAGUCAAGAACGGGUGUGAGAGUGGAAAGUUCACACUGUGACGGUAGCUUACCAGAAAGGGACGGCUAACUACGUG
This 497-nucleotide ribosomal RNA is filed under the name uncultured bacterium. RNAcentral's name for it is "partial 16S ribosomal RNA". It matches the Rfam family "Bacterial small subunit ribosomal RNA", at positions 28 to 507 of the family's 1533-position model. The record is from RNAcentral.